This 958-nucleotide ribosomal RNA is filed under the name uncultured organism. RNAcentral's name for it is "bacterial SSU rRNA". It matches the Rfam family "Bacterial small subunit ribosomal RNA", at positions 524 to 1490 of the family's 1533-position model. The record is from RNAcentral.
UACGGAGGAUGCAAGCGUUAUCCGGAAUCAAUUGCGGUUUAAAGGGUGCGUAGCUUGAUUACUAAGUCAAGUGGUGAAAAUUCCGGGCUCAACCCGGGACUUGCCGUUGAAACUGAUAAUCUUGAGUGUAACUGAUGUGGACGGAAUGUGUCAAGUAGCGGUGAAAUGCAUAGAUAUGACACAGAACACCGAUAGCGAAGGCAGCUCACAAAAUUACAACUGACACUGAGGCACGAAAGCGUGGGUAUCAAACAGGAUUAGAUACCCUGGUAGUCCACGCUGUAAACGAUGAUCACUAGCUGUUUGCGAUACAUUGUAAGUGGUUAAGCGAAAGCGAUAAGUGAUCCACCUGGGGAGUACGUCGGCAACGAUGAAACUCAAAGGAAUUGACGGGGGCCCGCACAAGCGGAGGAGCAUGUGGUUUAAUUCGAUGAUACGCGAGGAACCUUACCUGGGCUUGAACGUAUGGUGCAUGAGUGUGAAAGCACUCUUUCCUUCACAGGACUUCAUACGAGGUGCUGCAUGGUUGUCGUCAGCUCGUGCCGUGAGGUGUUAGGUUAAGUCCUGCAACGAGCGCAACCCCUGUUUUUAGUUGCCAUCAGGUUAUGCUGGGCACUCUAGAAAGACUGCCUGCGCAAGCAGUGAGGAAGGUGGGGAUGACGUCAAAUCAGCACGGCCCUUACGUCCAGGGCUACACACGUGCUACAAUGGUCGGCACAGAGGGUUGCUACCCGGCAACGGGAUGCUAAUCUCCAAAGUCGAUCUUAGUUCGGAUCGAAGUCUGCAACUCGACUUCGUGAAGUUGGAUUCGCUAGUAAUCGUAUAUCAGCCAUGAUACGGUGAAUACGUUCCCGGGCCUUGUACACACCGCCCGUCAAGCCAUGGAAGUUGGGGGUACCUGAAGUCGAUUACCGAAAGGGAUUGCCUAGGGUAAACCGAUAACUGGGGCUAAGUCGUA